UAGUUGAGACUAUUGAGAUGUAAGUGGGAAUGCUUUAAAUUGUCCAGACCAGGGGAGUAAGGAUAAGACCAAGCCUUCUACUCUAAAUGAAAAUAUCUUAUUGAGAAGUGAUCUCCAGUACACUAACCUAUGAAAGGACAAUGUGGGAAGACAGACUGGGAUUAACAGAUUGUUUCGUUUUGAAGAAAAGAGGGCGCCUGGGUGGCGCAGUCGGUUAAGCGUCCGACUUCAGCCAGGUCACGAUCUCGCGGUCCGUGAGUUCGAGCCCCGCGUCAGGCUCUGGGCUGAUGGCUCGGAGCCUGGAGCCUGUUUCCGAUGCUGUGUCUCCCUCUCUCUCUGCCCCUCCCCCGUUCACGCUCUGUCUCUCUCUGUCCCAAAAAUAAAUAAACGUUGAAAAAAAAAAUUAAAAAAAAAAAAAAAAAAGAA
Molecule: long non-coding RNA, 426 nt
Organism: Acinonyx jubatus (cheetah)
Lineage: Eukaryota; Metazoa; Chordata; Mammalia; Carnivora; Felidae
Exons: 2
Source: RefSeq, a predicted model, not a curated record